CAAGUCGAGCGAAUCGAUGGGAGCUUGCUCCCUGAGGUUAGCGGCGGACGGGUGAGUAACACGUGGGUAACCUGCCUGUAAGACUGGGAUAACUUCGGGAAACCGGAGCUAAUACCGGAUAAUUUCUUUUCUCGCAUGAGAGAAGAUGGAAAGAUGGUUUCGGCUAUCACUUACAGAUGGACCCGCGGCGCAUUAGCUAGUUGGUGAGGUAACGGCUCACCAAGGCGACGAUGCGUAGCCGACCUGAGAGGGUGAUCGGCCACACUGGGACUGAGACACGGCCCAGACUCCUACGGGAGGCAGCAGUAGGGAAUCUUCCGCAAUGGACGAAAGUCUGACGGAGCAACGCCGCGUGAGCGAAGAAGGCCUUCGGGUCGUAAAGCUCUGUUGUUAGGGAAGAACAAGUACCAGAGUAACUGCUGGUACCUUGACGGUACCUAACCAGAAAGCCACGGCUAACUACGUGCCAGCAGCCGCGGUAAUACGUAGGUGGCAAGCGUUGUCCGGAAUUAUUGGGCGUAAAGCGCGCGCAGGUGGUUCCUUAAGUCUGAUGUGAAAGCCCACGGCUCAACCGUGGAGGGUCAUUGGAAACUGGGGAACUUGAGUGCAGAAGAGGAAAGUGGAAUUCCAAGUGUAGCGGUGAAAUGCGUAGAGAUUUGGAGGAACACCAGUGGCGAAGGCGACUUUCUGGUCUGUAACUGACACUGAGGCGCGAAAGCGUGGGGAGCAAACAGGAUUAGAUACCCAGGUAGUCCACGCCGUAAACGAUGAGUGCUAAGUGUUAGAGGGUUUCCGCCCUUUAGUGCUGCAGCUAACGCAUUAAGCACUCCGCCUGGGG
This 838-nucleotide ribosomal RNA is filed under the name uncultured Bacillus sp. RNAcentral's name for it is "bacterial SSU rRNA". It matches the Rfam family "Bacterial small subunit ribosomal RNA", at positions 58 to 878 of the family's 1533-position model. Lineage: Bacteria; Bacillati; Bacillota; Bacilli; Caryophanales; Bacillaceae. The record is from RNAcentral.